UUCCAGAGACAAGAGAGUACAGGUUUUCAUCGUAAUGAUUGUGAGACUUAUAUUUUUGUUUGUGGCUGUUAGUAGCCAUUUUCUAUUUCCUAUAAUUUCCCUACAAUCAAUACAACUUCAAUGUCUUGUUUUAAAUAAAUGAUAAUUGUGGAGAUUCAUAUGAUAGACCUCCAAUUAGGCACACCUAUAUUAGGCUUGGGGGCUAAGUAUGGUAAUAGCUAAGUUUGGUAAUUUACAAGGAUAUGGAAUCAAUUUGCUAUCUGUUUGAUUUGGAAUGUAUCAAUUUGCUAUCUGUUUAUUUAGGAAUGUUUUUGUAAUUAAAUAACAAGAGAGUGUAGGGGGAGGCAUGUCUUUUUCUUGAUCUGUAUUGAGCCUUAGCUCUUGGAGAGAAACCGAGACUCGAAUUUCCCAAACUAUCAAUAAAACACUCUAUUCCUUCUUAUCUCUUCAUCUAGCCUACUACAAUGUAUCAAUUGGCGUCGUUUGUCUCCUAACUCCAUGGUGACCAAGAUGGAAUCUCGGGUGGAAGCCGUUGAAGGCCUCCUCUCUACUGUCCAAACUGAGUUGCUUACCAUCAAAGAGGACUUGCAGCGGCUACCCGUUUUGGAGCAAAGCGUUGCUGCCUUGGUUAGUCGGUUGGAAGACUUUAUGACUGUCCAAGCGGAGCGGCAGGUGCACCCGACGGUGGCUGAUCGGACCUAGGCUUCGGCAUCCAAACCAGCCCCUCACGUGCACUCCGUUCCCUCUUCGUUGGUGUCGGGUAUGGCUGUCAGCCCAGGAGGCAGAGGCUCUUGGGUUGGUGGGUCUUCUCGGGACACUCCCGCCCCGGCGCCGAGAUGGGAUAUCCGUCCCCGCCGCAUCGAGCUUUCUUCCUUUGACGGCGACAACCCAGAUGGUUGGGUCUUGAAGGCUGAACGUUUCUUUUCUCUUCACCGGUUGACUUAUGCCGAGUGCCUUGAGACCGCGAUUACCAGCCUUGAAGGAGAGGCGCUGAUCUGGUUCCAGUGGGAGAAUCGUCGCCGUUCAUUCGUGUCGUGGGCCGAUCUCCGGCGGCAGAUGGUACGACGCUUCCGGCUUCUGCCCGAUGGCUCAAAGUAUCGUGCGAUUUUGGCCUUGAAGCAAACGGGCUCUGUAUGUGACUAUCGGAAGCAGUUCGAGUUAUUUGCGUCUUCUUUGGAGGGUCUCUCUAAAAAGGUAAUGGAAUCUACUUUUAUUAAUGGGAUUUUAUCUGAAAUUGGACAUGAGGUUACUAUAUUGAGCCUUAGUGGGCUUGAGGAGACCAUGGAAUUUGCCCAACAUGUGGAGACUAAAUUAUUGGCCCAAAAAAGAGCUAAACCAGCCAUGAGAGUACCCUUCUCUCGUUUUAGUAGGACACAUAAGGGCCCACUAAACUCCACUCCUCCACCGAGGACUACGACAAUUGCCGAGGACAGUCGCACUUCAUGGCGCUACCGUCUUCUCCAAGCUUGACCUCAAAUCUGGUUACCACCAGAUUCGAGUUCAACCUACCAAUGUGCCCAGGACAGCUUCUCGCACUCACGAGGGUCACUGAGUUUCUGGUCAUGCCUUUUGGCCUCACCAACGCCCCGGCCACGUUCCAAUCAUUGAUGAAUGAGGGUUUUACAAAUUUGUCCAAGCAUAAACUCUACGAAUUUCAGAAAAUAUCUAUUUGCAAGGGCGAAAUUGGAGUACUUGGGUCACAUCAUUUCAGGUAUGGGAGUGGCAGCCGACCAAGCAAAAGUACAGGCUAUGUUAGAUUGGCUUGUUUCGAGGAACAUCAAGGAACUGCGAGGAUUCUUAGGGCUUACUGGUUACUACCGCAAGUUUGUUCGAGGCUAUAGUGAGAUUGUAUGGCCCCUCACCGAAUAGUUGAAGAAGGAUCAACUUGGGUGGAAUGACUAUGCUGCUGCUGCUUUUGAUGCCCUCAAACACGCCAUGACCACUGUUUCGGUUUUAGCCCUCCCUGAUUUUACCAAGCCGUUCAUAGUAGAGACAGAUGCGUCCGGCUACGGAGUGGGUGCUGUAUUAAUGUAGGAACAAUGACUGGUGGCUUUUUACAGUCAAGUUUUGGGGCACCAAGCCCGAACUAAUCCGAUUUAUGAGAAGGAGUUGAUGGCUAUUGUCUUUGCUAUUAAAAAAUGGCGACCUUAUUUGCUUGGGCGGCGUUUUGUGGUUCGCACUGACCAGCAGAGUCUAAAAUUUUUAUUGGAACAACGCAUUGUGGCUCUUGAGUACCAGAAGUGGAUGGCUAAGUUGCUGGGGUAUGAUUUCGAAAUCCAAUAUCGAUCGGGGGCUGGCAAUAAGGCGGUCGAUGCUCUAUCUCGAGUUUCCCACCCGGUGGAAUGUCAUAAUAUACUACUGUCACAGGGAAUUGACUUGGAAGUAUUACACCAAGAACUACUACAAGAUGACUUUGUAAGCAGAAUUGUUUUCGAUUUACACCAAGGGAAGGCUCGCGCUGCUGGGUUCUCCCUGGAACAUGGACAAUUGAGGUAUAAAGGGCGCUUAAUGUUGUCCAAAAUGCGCUCUCUUAUCCCCACCAUACUCAAGGAGUACCAUGAUUUUGCUCUUGAGGGACAUUUCAGUGUGGAUAUAACUUUCAAACACAUUGCAUUCGAUUUUUACUGGCUGGGAAUGAGAAAGGCCGUGGCUGAAUGGGUGCGCAAUUGCAAAGUGUGCUAGAAACAGAAGUCCUUAGCCAUGUCUCCUGUUGGGUUAUUACAGCCCAUUGCUUUGCCCUCCUUGGUUUGGGAAUACUUGACCAUGGAUUUUAUAGAGGGAUUGUCUCGUUCAAAUGGUAUGGAUACAAUCUUGGUUGUGGUGGAUCAGUUGAGCAAAUACGCUCACUUCAUUCCAUUGAGGCAUCCUUUUAUGGCUAAAAUAGUGGCUGAGGUAUUUGUUCGAGAAGUCGUUCGUCUACACGGAAUUCCGGGAUCUAUCAGUUCUGAUCGUGAUAAGGUCUUCAUGAGUCAUUUCUGGCAAGAGUUGUUCAAGCUCCAGGGCACGGAGCUCUGUCACAGCAUCGCAUACCAUCCGCAAAUAGAUGGUCAAUCUGAGGUUGUCAAUCGAUGUUUGGAGACUUAUUUGCGCUGCUAUGCCUUAGAGAAACCCCGAACUUGGUUUGCUUGGCUCGCUUGGGUAGAAUAUUGGUACAACACCUCAUUCCAUGUGUCAUCGAAACACACCAUUUCGGAUUCUCUAUGGUCGCAAUCCUCCUUCACUCAUUCGGUACAAGUCUGGCUCCACCCCAGUUUCUUCUGUUAAGGAAAUGUUAGAAGAACGAGAUGCGCAACUUGAUGACCUCAAAAUGCAUAUGCUCUGCGCCCAACAGAAGAUGAAGUUAACGACGGAUAAGAAGCAACGUGAUGAUCAUUUUGAAGUGGGUGAGAAGGUAUUUGUCAAGUUGAAGCCUUACCGCCAGAAAUCUAUUGCUGCCAGGCGCAAUGAAAAGCUCUCUCCUUGCUUCUACGGGCCUUUUGAAGUACUCGCACGCAUUGUUCAGGUCGCUUAUAAGUUGGCAUUACUUGCCACCUCUUCGGUGCAUCCGGUGUUUCAUAUUUCUCAGCUUCGGCGAGCCCAUGGUGUGCAUCACUCUUCCCCAUUGUUGCCACCUCAAUUGAAUCUCGAUCUGGAGUUGUUGGUUGAACCUGUUGAUAUGGGUGUUUGGAAUGCCAAAGCUGAUGGAAGCGGCGAAGUGGAAGUACUCAUCAAAUGGAAGGACCUACCGAUCUUUGAGGCCACUUGGGAACGCUAUGACACCAUGGUCCAACAAUUUCCUUCUUUCACCUUGCGGACAAGGUGAAAGUUUGGGAGGGGGGUAAUGAUAGACCUCCAAUUAGGCACACCUAUAUUAGGCGCACGAAUCGAGGGGCUAAGUAUGGUAAUAACUAAGUUUGGUAAUUUACAAGGUUAUGGAAUCAAUUUGCUAUCUAUUUGAUUUGGUAUGUAUCAAUUUGCUAUUUGUUUGAUUUGGAAUGUAUCAAUUUGCUAUCUGUUUAUUCAGGAAUGUUUUUGUAAUUAAAUAACAAAAGAGUGUAGUGGGAGGCAUGUCUUUUUCUUAAUCUGUAUUGAGUCUUGGCUCUUGGAGAGAACCUGGGACUCGAAUUUCCCAGGCUAUCAAUAAAACACACUCUAUUUUCCUUCGUAUCUCUUCAUCUAGCCUAUUGCAGUGUAUCAUCAUAGUUUCUUUUACUGUGGCAAUUAUGUUGUAUCAUGCAAUACACACAUAUAUUUAUGAGUACUCUUAAUGGUUACUAGCCAUGAAUAUUUACUUUAAUAUUAACUAUCGUAUUAUGAUCAAUGAUUUAUAUUUAUUGUUGUUAAUUAAUAUUUCUUGAAAUCAGUGAGAGAAAAAGAAGAUAUCUUUUUUAUUCACUUAACUUAAUAAUACAAACUGAAGAGCUCCUUUAAAUAACUAUACAAUAAGCCUUUUAAUGUUAAUAUUCCUUAAACCUAGGGUUGUUACAACUGAGCCACUUUUCCAGGCAGACCUAUUCUAACAACUAAUAAAAAGAAUAAUAAUAAUAAAAUUAAUAUACACGUAUCAUUUUUAACACUCCCCCUCAAGCUGGUGUGUAGAUAUUUAUCAUGCCCAACUUGCUUAAAAAAUCGUUAGACUUUUGUUGAGUCAGCCCUUUGGUGAGUACAUCAGUUGUUUGUUGUUUAGUAGGCACAAAUACAAUACAGAUUAUUCCAUUCUCCAUCUUCUCGUUGAUGAAAUGUCUAUCAAUCUCUAUGUGCUUCGUUCGAUCAUGAUGAACGGGGUUAUGAGCCAUGCUUAUAGCAUCUUUGUUGUCACUGUACAACUUCAUUGGUAGUUGGGUCUCCAUUCCUAGCUCUGCCAGUACUCUUUUUAUCCACAGUAGCUCGCAUGUGCCUUGUGCCAAUGCCCUUAGUUUAGCUUCUGCACUACUUCUAGCCACAACACGCUGUUUUUUACUUCUCCAAGUUACCAAGUUACCCCAGACCAUUGAACAAUAACCUGUUGUGGACUUCCUGUCUUUAGUGCAACCAGCCCAAUCAGCGUCAGUGAAAAUCUCAACUGUUCUAUUCUCCCCCUUACCAAAAAAUAAUCCUUUUCCAAGAGUCAUCUUCAAAUAUCGAAGGAUUCUGUUCACUGCCAGCAGAUGUUCCUCGUUGGGAGAAUGCAUAAACUGACUUACACGACUGACUGCAAAGACUAUAUCUGGCCUAGUGUGUGAGAGAUAGAUCAGUCUUCCUACUAACCUUUGGUAUUGUUCUUUGUCUACUGGAGCAUAUUCUUUAUUUUGGUUGAACUUGUGAUUCACUUCCACAGGUGUAGCAGCAGGCUUACUACCAAGCAUUCUGGUUUCCUUUAGCAAAUUGAUAGACCUCCUCUGUUAGUCUAUAAGAGGAGGGGCCGAACAUAAAAUGUGGCUGUUAUUUUGAGUUUUUUUGUAUUCUUUUAGAUUCUGUAAUUGGGGGGGCUGAGCUGUCCUUUUGUUGUAGGCUCCUAGUUGGUAGUAAUUAAUUGUAACUAGUGCCUAUGUUAAGGAGAGGAGGUCUUUCUUGGAAUAUAGAGAAUUGUAUAGAGAAGUUUGUGGAGAGUUUCACCCUCUCGAAAGGUGAAGAUAGGAGAGUAGAGCCUCUCGAACAGCUCUGUGAUUGUAUCUACUUUUCUGUGACCAAUAAAAAGCUUCUUUGAGGGAAUCAAUUCUGGUGUUGUGUUAUUGAUAGAAAUUACUAACUAAGAAGAUUCUAUCAAAUUGGUAAGAAGAUUCCAAAAAAAUCAGCUCUUUUGCAGAAAAUUAUGGCUGAAUUCCAUACUACUCCUAUAGGUGGUCAUUCCGGUGAACUAAAGACAUUUAAACGAGUACAGGCUGAACUGUUUUGGGAAGGUAUGCGGAAGGAUAUCGCUAAAUUUGUGCAAAGGUGCACUACAUGUCAGCAGAAUAAAUAUGUGACAACCACACCCGCUGGUCUUUUGCAAUCUAUUCCAUUACCGGCACAAGUUUGGGACGAGAUCACCAUGGAUUUCAUUGAGGGCUUGCCUAACUCUGCGGGUUGGGACACUAUAUUGGUAGUAAUUGACCGUCUUUCCAAGUAUGCUCAUUUUUUGAAGCUUCGUCACCCUUUUACAGCCAGCACAGUGGCUGAUCAAUUCAUGCAAGAAGUAGUACGAUUACAUGGAUUGCCACUCUCCAUAAUAACAGAUCGAGACUGUAUCUUCCUCAGCAAUUUUUGGCGUCAUUUGUUUACAUUACAAGGCACACAUCUCAAACGAAGCACUGCCUACCAUCCACAAACGGACGGCCAAUCCGAGGUAUUGAAUAGGUGUUUGGAGACUUUUUUACGUUGUUUCACCUAUGAGAACCCAAAAAAGUGGUCUAAAUGGUUAGCAUGGUUGGAAUUUUGGUACAAUACGUCAUACCAUUCAGCUAUCCAAAGUUCCCCCUUCAAAGCAUUAUAUGGUCGCGAACCACCACUUCUACUUCCCUACAAAAAGGGGACAGCAGUAGUCUCUGCCGUAGAUUCCUUACUCGAGGCUCGGGAUGCUAUCCUUGAUGACCUUCGAAUGCACUUAUUACGAGCUCAACAACAAAUGCAGCGUUAUACGGCUUCACAGCGACAUCACCUCGAGUUUUAAGUGGGAGACCUGGUGUACCUCAAGCUCCGUCCAUACCGCCAGAAGUCCCUCGCACGCCGUACAAAUGAGAAGCUCUCCGCCCGGUAUUAUGGCCCUUAUCCUAUUUUAGAGCGAGUUGGCAAGGUUGCUUACAAACUGCACCUUCCCGAUCAGGCCACCAUACACCCCAUUUUUCAUGUUUCCCAGCUAAGGCGUGCCCUCGGAACCAACCAGUCAACACCGACCAUACCCCCUCAGCUUAACACCGAGUUGGAACUUCGUGUUGUGCCAGAAGCAGUCCUCCAACAGCGCCCCAAAGUCUCUGACCCCACUACCACAGAAGUCCUCAUUCAAUGGCACUCCCUUCCCGACUUUGAGGCGACUUGGGAAGAUUACAACACAAUCCUAGAGCAAUUUCCUUCUUUCCACCUUGAGGACAAGGUGAAGGUUCUUGGGGGGUAAUGAUAGACCUCCUCUGUUAGUCUAUAAAAGGAGGGGCCGAACAUAAAAUGUGGCUGUUAUUUUGAGUUUUUUUGUAUUCUUUUAGAUUCUGUAAUUGGGGGGGCUGAGCUGUCCUUUUGUUAUAAGCUCCUAGUUGGCAGUAAUUAAUUGUAACUAGUGCCUAUAUUAAGGAGAGGAGGUCUUUCUUGGAAUAUAGAGAAUUGUAUAGAGAAGUUUGUGGAGAGUUUCACCCUCUCGAAAGGUGAAGAUAGGAGAGUAGAGCCUCUCGAACAGCUCUGUGAUUGUAUCUACUUUUCUGUGACCAAUAAAAAGCUUCUUUGAGGGAAUCAAUUCUGGUGUUGUGUUAUUGAUAGAAAUUACUAACUAAGAAGAUUCUAUCACAAAUCUAGAGUGUAUUUCCUUUGUGAGACGGAAAUACCUUUACUUGUUCUAGCCACUUCCAUACCCAAGAAAUAUCGUAGCUUGCCUAGAUCUUUGACUUCAAAUUCUCUUGCUAAUUCUUCCUUGAUCGCUUGUAACUCGUGGCUGUCAUUUCCAGUCAAGAUGAUAUCAUCCACAUAUACGAUUAGAACGGCCAACUGUCCAUGUUUAGACCUUUUGAAGAACAAGGUGUGAUCUGCCUGCCCCUGCUUAUAACCACAUUUCUUUACUACCUUCCCAAGCCUAUCGAACCAAGCUCUAGGUGAUUGCUUCAACCCAUAGAGUGACUUCUCUAGUUUACAUACUUCUCCAGCAUUUAGUUCAGUACUAAAUCCUGGUGGUAUUGUCAUGUAAACUUUCUCUUCAAGAUUCCCAUUUAAGAAUGCAUUUUUAAUAUCUAGUUGAUAGAGUGGCCAAUCAAGAUUAGUUGCAAGACACAAGAGAGCUCUUACUGUGUUGAGCUUUGCAACGGGAGCAAAUGUCUCCGUAUAAUCAACACCAUAUGUUUGAGUAAAGCCACGUGCCACUAGUCGCGCCUUAAAGCGGUCAAUACUCCCAUCAGCCUGAUAUUUUACAGAGAACACCCAUUUAGAACUUAUUGUUUUGAUAUCCUUCGGCUGUGUCACAAGCUCCCAUGUACCAUUCUUUGUCAAUGCAUCCAUCUCUGCAUAUACUGCCUCUUUCCAUUCUUUGGACCUCAGUGCUUCAUAAAUGGUUCUAGGAAUGGUAAUCUUAUCCAAACCUGUUGCAAAAGCUUUGUAGUGCUUUGUCAGCUUUCCAUAUGACAUGAAUUUAUGUAUGGGAUGUUGUGUACAGCUUCGAACUCUUUUUCUUUUGGCUAUAGGCAGGUCCUCCAUGUCUUCGUUUGUGAUAGGCAUAAAGCCACUAUUUUCAGAGAUAAGAGAAGGUGUAGUAACAGAAGUACCUGAUUCUUUGUGGAAUUUCUCUUGACAAAUGCUCAGGCUCUCUUGGUUUAGACGAUUGGUCAACUUGCUGUGUGAGUGGCUGUACUGUGGAAGAUUUAUGCUACGAGUGUAGACAUGUAACGCCCCACUUCCUUAGAGUCGUUACUAAGUGAGUUUUAAAUGUGUACUUAACUCGCUAAUCGAGGUUUUAGGUCAAAAGUGUAACUAAAUCAUAAACAGUGAAAUAAACUUUGAAAAUAAUUCCAUUUACUAUAAAUCAUCAAGUGUUUGACACUUGGGAUCCAAAGAUACUGUUUAGAAUAUUUACAACAUAUAAUCACUAGUCAAGUCGACUAGACGACAAAAUUUAAGUUUUAAUACAACCAUCUUCCAAAACCACUGGCUGUGGCAGCCAGGCAGGCCAAACAUGUACGCGCCGCUUCACGCUCUCCGUACUCAUGGUUGGUUGACUUUCCUCUUGUCCUUACCUGCACCACAGAGCACCCGUGAGCCGAAACCCAGCAAAAAAACCCUCACAAGCAGAUAACAUAUGCAUAACAAACACUUAUCAGUUAAACAGGCCAUCAAUAGGCUAAACACAUACGGCCAUGCCGUUCCAGGCGCUUUACCAUGCCCUGGGUUCGCGGUCCACACCGUGAGGAUAUCCAAGGUAUCCUUUAGGGUCUCACCCUGGCAGCUCGCACUCCACAUGCUCAACGUUGCUCUCGGCCCCUUGCCGCUCUCGGCCUUGCACUCCACGUGCCUAACGCCGUUUCCGGUCCCUUACCGUUUCCGGCCUUGCCGACCUCGGCCUGCGCCGUUCUCGGCUCUCGCCGAACAUUUACACAUGUGAAUACAUAGCAUAAUAAAGCAAAUACUAAUUAUGAACAAAUCAAUCAAAGGGGCUACGCCCUGCAACACAGACAUAUAGGGCUCAGCCCUGCAUACAAGCUCUGUGGAAGACAGUGGUUUUCUUACUUGUGUCCCGAGCUCCUUAAGCACCGAAGUCACGGGCACGGUCCUCUAUCCUAAGCCUCUUCAACAAAACCUAGUCACAACACAUAUAAAACACUCUUUAAUACUAACCAAUCCAAAACCAUUUCCCGGGACCAAUCUCGUACUCUCGGGACCUCCAAUUUCCCAAAACAAAGUAGCGAACAACCCCCGAGCCCCCUGGGCAAAAACCCUAAAAUAGAAAUUUUCCCCUGCCCAAAAAUGGCCUAGCGCCGCGGCGCCCUCUAAUGAGGGCCGCGGCGCCCAGACUGCCCACGCCCCUGCUGUAGCGUAGCGCUGCGGCGCAGAAGAACAGGGCCGCGGCGCCCCUUCGCGAACCCAGAAUUCUGGGUUUUCCCCUGCGUUUUUCCCGAGCCAAAACACUUCCAAUUCAACCCAAACAUAUACCCAAACCCCAAAACCAAUUUGAAACCUCAAAUGAACCUUCUAACAUCCUAAAAACACCAACAACAAGGUCCAACACGCAAUCACACUCAAAAUCCACACUUUGGUUUCAAAUUCCAGAAACUUAAACCAUAGCUUUUAAAACUUAAACCAAGGCUUGAAAAAUGUAAACCAUGCUUCUAAAUCCUUAAACCACAUCAGAUACGAAAAUUCAAAGAUGUUUAAAACUCUUACCUCAAUCAAUAAUUCAGCUUGAAUUCUUUCUAAUCCCUGCCUUGAGCCAAUUCCUCCUGAUUACCCAAACUGAAUUCCUUACAAAACCAGCCACAACUAUCUUUAAAUUUCCACACUUACUUUCUAGAAAUUAAGCUUAAACUUAAACAAAAACAGAGACAAAUUCUUACCUCAGAAAAGUCUUGGUCUAUGAUGAAGUUUAAUUGCCUCCAACCACUUAAUUCUUCUCCUAGGUCUUUCAAAUUUCAGCUCCCUUCUUCCUUUCCUUUCUUUCUAGUUUUCUCCUCAAGCUUCCAGCCAAAACAGAAUAUGCCUAAGUGUUAAAACGUGAAUAACGUUUCCCUCAUUUGAAGUUAUCUAUAUCCUACCAAAAGACCAUUUUACCCCUCCAUGUAAUUCCCUUCCUAACUAAACCCCAAGGGCAUUUUUGCUAUUUCACCUUUCGUACAAUUCUAUCAUUUUUCUCACCUAAAAUUGUUACUCUCAAUAGUUACCAAUGGUCACUCAAGUUACUCAAUCACCAUUAACCAUUAACUCACAAACUCAAAUUAUAAAAUUCCCAAAAUACCCCUAGGCUCCUCCCGAGCCGGGUAUUUAAUCCCGUUGUGACUUUUAUACUAAUUAGCUCCCUAGGACCGUCCCGGCACGUGCAUCACAACAAUAUCACCACUCACACAUGGUAUUAAUCAUAUAACAUAAUUAUUACAUUUAUGGCCUCAGUGGGCUGAAAUUACCAAUUUACCCCUAACAACCAAAUGGGGCCCACAUGCUUAUUUAUUUCACCUAAACAUGCAUUCUAACCACAUAUUCAUUAAAUUCACAUAAAUUAAUACAGUAUAACAGUUAUUGCCCUCCCGGCACACUAAUCAAGACUCUAAGCCUUAUUAGCAAAUCUGGGUCGUUACAAGACAUGUAAUUCUUUGGAUUUGUCUUGAGGAGCUUUUAUUUCAGCAUGUGAGUUAUGAAUAUCACAAGGCAGAUUUGGAGUAGGAUAAGUAGGAAUAGGCAGAGGUGUUUCCCAAAAAUGAGCCUCAUCAAAAUUCUCCUCUUGAAGAGAAGUAUUUUGAUAGUAAGGUUGUGUUUAAAAAAAUGUGACAUCGUGAGAAACAUAAAAACGCCUGGUGGUAGGAUUGUAGCACUCCUGGGAUCUAAUUUCCCACGUUUAGAACGUGGUAUAUGAACAAAGGAAACGCAACCAAAUAUUUUGGCUGGUAAUUCAGACCCUAUUAGUCUAGUUUGAGGAUAGGAACUGCAUAAAACUGUGAGUGGAGUUUUAAAAUUUAACACUUUUGAUGGCAUCCUAUUAAUUAAAUAAGAUGCUGUUAAAAUGGCUUCUCCCCAAAAAAUUUUAGGAACAUUUGUUUUGAACAUAAUGGACCUAGCAACCUCUAAAAGAUGACGAUUCUUACGCUCUACUAUCCCAUUUUGUUGGGGGGAAUCAAUGCAAGAACUUUGAUGAAUAAUGCCAUAUUUUGUAAGAUAAUCAUUCAAUAUUUCAUUAAAAUACUCUGUUCCAUUAUCAGUGCAUAGAAUUUGAAUAUCAGUGUGGAAUUGAGUUUUAAUCCUUGAAUGAAAUUUUUUGAAAGUAGAUUCAGCAUCAGAUUUUUCUUUGAGUAAAUAAACCCAGCAAACCCUAGAAUGAUUAUCUAUGAAAGUAAUGAACCAUUUUGUUUUGGUUAGAUUAUUAAUUUUAGAUGGUCCCCACAAGUCACUAUGAAUUAAGGCAAAUGGAGUAGAGGCUGUAUAGGGUCGAGAUUUAAAGGGUAAACGAGUGUGUUUUGCAAGUUGACAUGAAUCACAAUGAAAAGAUCUCAAAUCUUUAUUUUUAAAUAGUAAUGGAAAUAAGUGUUUAAGGAAAGGAAAACUAGGAUGGCCAAGCCUACAGUGCCACAUCAUUAUUUUUUGAACAGAAGAGUCCCUAGAACUAGAAGAGGAA
Long non-coding RNA from Humulus lupulus (European hop), 11941 nucleotides. RefSeq lists it as uncharacterized. The transcript has 2 exons. Lineage: Eukaryota; Viridiplantae; Streptophyta; Magnoliopsida; Rosales; Cannabaceae. The record is from RefSeq and is a predicted model, not a curated record.